Molecule: ribosomal RNA, 447 nt
Filed under: uncultured bacterium
Lineage: Bacteria
Description: bacterial SSU rRNA
Rfam family: Bacterial small subunit ribosomal RNA
Source: RNAcentral
GCCAGACUCCUACGGGAGGCAGCAGUGGGGGAUAUUGCACAAUGGGGGGAACCCUGAUGCAGCGACGCCGCGUGGGUGAAGGAGCGUUUCGGCGCGUAAAGCCCUAUCGGCAGGGAAGAAGGAGGACGGUACCUGACUAAGAAGCCCCGGCUAACUACGUGCCAGCAGCCGCGGUAAUACGUAGGGGGCAAGCGUUAUCCGGAUUUACUGGGUGUAAAGGGGGCGCAGACGGCAGCGCAAGCCAGGAGUGAAAGCCCGGGGCCCAACCCCGGGACUGCUCUUGGAACUGCGCGGCUGGAGUGCAGGAGGGGCAGGCGGAAUUCCUGGUGUAGCGGUGAAAUGCGUAGAUAUUAGGAGGAACACCAGUGGCGAAGGCGGCUUACUGGACAGUAACUGACGUUGAGGCUCGAAAGCGUGGGGAGCAAACAGGAUUAGAUACCCCGGUAC